RNAcentral lists this ribosomal RNA (253 nucleotides) under uncultured bacterium. RNAcentral's name for it is "partial 16S ribosomal RNA". It matches the Rfam family "Bacterial small subunit ribosomal RNA", at positions 524 to 776 of the family's 1533-position model. The record is from RNAcentral.
UACGUAGGCAGCGAGCGUUGUUCGGAGUUAUUGGGAGUAAAGAGUGCGUAGGCGGUUUUUUAAGUUUGGUGUGAAAUCUCCCGGCUCAACUGGGAGGGUGCGCCGAAGACUGGAAGGCUUGAGUAUGGGAGAGGUAAGCGGAAUUCCUGGUGUAGCGGUGAAAUGCGUAGAUAUCAGGAGGAACACCUGCGGUGUAGACGGCUUACUGGACCAUAACUGACGCUGAGGCACGAAAGCGUGGGUAGCAAACAGG